UUCGGGUCUAGUGGCGCACGGGUGCGUAACGCGUGGGAAUCUGUCCCUUUGCUUCGGAAAUAACAGUUAGGAAUGACUGCUAAUACCGGAUGAUGUCUUCGGACCAAGAUUUAUCGGACAAAGGAUGACGCCCGCGUAGGAUUAGGUAGUUGGUGGGGUAAAGGCCUACCAAGCCGACGAUCCUUAGCUGGUCUGAGAGGAUGAUCAGCCACACUGGGACUGAGACACGGCCCAGACUCCUACGGGAGGCAGCAGGUGGGGAAUAUUGGACAAUGGGCGCAAGCCUGAUCCAGCAAUGCCGCGUGAGUGAUGAAGGCCUUCGGGUCGUAAAGCUCUUUACCAGGGAUGAUAAUGACAGUACCUGGAGAAUAAGCUCCGGCUAACUCCGUG
RNAcentral lists this ribosomal RNA (390 nucleotides) under uncultured bacterium. Its description in RNAcentral is "bacterial SSU rRNA". It matches the Rfam family "Bacterial small subunit ribosomal RNA", at positions 85 to 507 of the family's 1533-position model. The record is from RNAcentral.